AAGAGAGUGACAGAGUGGUUAUGUGACUGAUUUGAAAUUGGUUUAUGGGGGUUCAAUUCCUUUUUCUCUUG
This 71-nucleotide transfer RNA is filed under the name Neocyema erythrosoma. RNAcentral's name for it is "tRNA-Ser (UCN)". It matches the Rfam family "tRNA". From Rfam's summary of the family: Transfer RNA (tRNA) molecules are approximately 80 nucleotides in length. Their secondary structure includes four short double-helical elements and three loops (D, anti-codon, and T loops). The record is from RNAcentral. Lineage: Eukaryota; Metazoa; Chordata; Actinopteri; Anguilliformes; Cyematidae.